UACGUAGGGUGCGAGCGUUACUCGGAAUUACUGGGCGUAAAGCGUGCGCAGGCGGUUAUUUUAGUCAGGUGUGAAAGCCCUGGGCUUAAUCUAGGAAUUGCGCUUGAGACUGGAUAGCUUGGAGUGCGGCAGAGGGAGGUGGAAUUCCACGUGUAGCAGUGAAAUGCGUAGAGAUCAGGAAGAACACCGGUGGCGAAAGCGUUCUGCUGGGCUGCGACUGACACUGAGGGACGAAAGCUAGGGGAGCGAAUGGG
RNAcentral lists this ribosomal RNA (254 nucleotides) under uncultured bacterium. Its description in RNAcentral is "partial 16S ribosomal RNA". It matches the Rfam family "Bacterial small subunit ribosomal RNA", at positions 524 to 776 of the family's 1533-position model. The record is from RNAcentral.